CUUCCUGUAGGGGAACAUGUGGUAGAACAAAGAGGAAGACCAUGCCCGAAAGGAGAGACCCCCCACCAUUGUGUAUUAUUACUUUGUAGCUUAGGCAAGACGCCUUCGGACAUAGUAUGCUAGCCACAGAAUACCAAAACUCUUUUUAUUAAUGUAGUCCGAGUACUAAAUAAUAGUUAAAACAUUCAACAACGGAUCUCUUGGUUCAGGCAACGAUGAAGAACGCAGCAAACCCGAUAAGUAAUGUGAAGCGAAGAAUUCACUGAAUCAUCGAAUCUCUGAAAGCACAGCGCGCCCCAUGGUAUUCCGGGGGGCGGCCUGUUCGAGCGUCAUUUCAACCCUCAAGCUCAGUUGGUAAAGGUCUAAGUCAGUAAUGGCACGCUCAAAAAUCAGAGGAGGAGACGCUGGGUCCUGAACGUAGUAACAACGCCUACAGGCACCCGGCGUGCAUCAACCAAAACCCAAACACAACGAGGGAGGACCACCAAGCAGGCAAGAAUACCCGCUGAACUUAAGCAUAUCAUAAGCGGAGGAAAAU
Molecule: ribosomal RNA, 538 nt
Filed under: Botrytis cinerea
Lineage: Eukaryota; Fungi; Ascomycota; Leotiomycetes; Helotiales; Sclerotiniaceae
Description: eukaryotic LSU rRNA
Rfam family: 5.8S ribosomal RNA (bases 181-332)
Source: RNAcentral